GUAUAGAGAAUCAGACAUCAACAGAUUCAAUUAUGCAAGUUUACGCCAAACAAUGGCUUGCACGCACGCUUGAGGAUCAGAAGAGUUCAGAACUGGCAGCAGCACAGAGCUACAGGCUGUUCGUCAGCGACGGCAACGGGACGUCCAUCGGGUUUCUCCACGAUCAGGUUCUGCACCUCUGAGCAGUACCCCGCAGCAGCCGCCGCCCGUCCACCCAUCUUCGUUAUGCGUGCAUCCCAUCGUGCCCCGCCACAGGUGCCGCCAUGGCGCCAUCAGCGCACCUGACGCCCGCGCGCUCCAUGGGGAAGUCGAUCUCGCCCGCCGCCCGCCGUCACCUAACCCGUCCGCGUCACAGCACGGGCCUGGCCUCCCCCGCGAGCAGGGGUGGACCUAGGGUAGAAUUUAAGAGGGGGCGCACCUUAAGAACUGCUAGAUCAAUGGAGCUUGAGUAUGGUGAAAAAUUAGUUUUUACCUUGGCGUCCAAAUUCUGAGUGAGGGCCUGUGCCCUCUCAGAAAAAAUUGUACUGCUGCUGCUUGUUGAUUGGCUGUACAGCCGUAGCCAAACAGCUGCAACAAGCAGAAAUGAGCAGGCUUAAUGUGGGUUCACCCCUGCCGGUGAGGUGUGGCUAUCCUCGCCCUCAAGUCUCGAUACCUCACGCGCAGCCGCUAU
This 670-nucleotide long non-coding RNA is filed under the name Setaria italica (foxtail millet). Its description in RNAcentral is "long non-coding RNA (SITA_LNC000246)". The record is from RNAcentral. Lineage: Eukaryota; Viridiplantae; Streptophyta; Magnoliopsida; Poales; Poaceae.